RNAcentral lists this ribosomal RNA (500 nucleotides) under uncultured bacterium. RNAcentral's name for it is "partial 16S ribosomal RNA". It matches the Rfam family "Bacterial small subunit ribosomal RNA", at positions 30 to 523 of the family's 1533-position model. The record is from RNAcentral.
AUUGAACGCUGGCGGCAUGCCUUACACAUGCAAGUCGAACGGCAGCACGGGAGCAAUCCUGGUGGCGAGUGGCGAACGGGUAAGUAAAGUAUCGGAACGUGCCCAGUCGUGGGGGAUAACGUAGCGAAAGUUACGCUAAUACCGCAUACGAUCUAUGGAUGAAAGCGGGGGAUCGCAAGACCUCGCGCGAUUGGAGCGGCCGAUAUCAGAUUAGGUAGUUGGUGGGGUAAAGGCUCACCAAGCCGACGAUCUGUGGCUGGUCUGAGAGGACGACCAGCCACACUGGGACUGAGACACGGCCCAGACUCCUACGGGAGGCAGCAGUGGGGAAUUUUGGACAAUGGGCGAAAGCCUGAUCCAGCCAUGCCGCGUGCAGGAUGAAGGCCUUCGGGUUGUAAACUGCUUUUGUACGGAACGAAAAGGUUUGGCCUAAUAAGCUGAGCUCAUGACGGUACCGUAAGAAUAAGCACCGGCUAACUACGUGCCAGCAGCCGCAGUAA